RNAcentral lists this ribosomal RNA (221 nucleotides) under uncultured bacterium. RNAcentral describes it as "partial 16S ribosomal RNA". It matches the Rfam family "Bacterial small subunit ribosomal RNA", at positions 524 to 730 of the family's 1533-position model. The record is from RNAcentral.
UACGUAGGGUGCGAGCGUUAAUCGGAAUUACUGGGCGUAAAGCGUGCGCAGGCGGAUUGUUAAGCAAGAUGUGAAAAUCCCCGGGCGUUAGUCCUCGGGAAGUAGGCGAUUUUGUAACUAGGCGAGUCUAGAGUGUGUCAGAGGGGGGUGGGAAUUACCACCGUGUAGCAGUGAAAUAGCGUAGAUAUGUGGAGGAACACCAAUGGCGAAGGCAGCCCCCU